AAGCAAUUUAAAUAGAUCUGUCCCAACCAUGCAAUUACAGGAGCUGAUGACGUUUCAGAAACAGUGACAAAGUUCAGAAUCCCAUUCUUCCAUCCUAGAUGGGAAACAUCAACUUUCCUGAUGGUGAGUUUGUCAGAGUCCAUUCCCAAGAGUGGGGGUGGGGAGGUGGGGGUGGAGGCUGUUGACAGGCAAUGAUUUCUGUGGAGUAGAAGAGAGGAAAAGAGAAAAAGAAUUUGUUAGUUGUAACAGACACUUCGGUUAAUUGGUCUUCAUCCACCUUUUCCUUGCCUGCCUCUCAAUAUAGAUGCUGAAAAAGCAAGAUACUCAUUUUUUCCAGCCACCCUUGCAGAGCCAGAAAGCCCAUGAGAUUCAAUAGAUGUAAGACUGAGAGAGAUUUUCAUUCCUGGAUGAAAGGAGACAGGCCUGGGAGAAGAGUUUUCUCUUGCCAUCUUUGCAGUCUCUCCACUCCUGACGUGUACAGGGUCAGGUAAAGACUUGCUGUCUAGAAGUGUGGCAAUGAUUGGGUGGCCAUGAAUCAUGAAACUUAAAGACAAAAACUAAACAUGCUGCAGAUUUGGAGUGGAAGGAAAGAAAGAGCAUGGGACCCAUGACCAGUCUGGGAAAAUCUACCUCUGAACAUCUUAUUAAGUACACAUUGAAUGUCCUUCCUUAGCAAGUAGGUUGUUCCUGCCAGGUCUCGUAUCCCUCAGUCUUGAAGAACAUACACUGACACAGAUGAGUGGGAUGCACAAAAUCAUAGGGAUUCAAGAAAGGUAACCCCAAAGAAACUCAAAGACAAUACAACUCUUAACAGUUAUAUUAUGAAUAACCAGUCUCAAACUUAGCAUGUUAGUUCUUGGAAAUAUUUACCUGGCAGAGUAAGAACCCGCUGGGACAAUUACAGGGUUCUUCAGCCACUGAAUCGAUUUUAAAUCAGUUUCUGUCUGGGAGAAAUUUGGAAUAUCUCCUUCAUUGAGAAGGGGCACAAUAAGCACAGCUAUAAAAAUCAAGGAAACCAUGAAAAUAGUUUCUUAUAUUAAUACAGCAAACAUAUUCCUGAAGGGAUUGAUAAUUUCAUUUUGUUUUUAAUAAUAAUUAAUCUUUGCAAUAUCCUGGUGGAGAGAUGGAGAGAUAAAGGAUGAUUACUACCACUUUAGAGGGGGAAAGAUAGAAAGGACAUGACAUUAAAUGAUUACCUGUAAGCCAUAGUUAAAAUGUAGCCCCAUGUAGACAGCCAGUAAGACAGCAGAGGUAAGAUUCCAGAUAGCUUAAGUUGCAGUCUGGCCUCUGUCCCUCAGGCACUCUCUCUAAUGACUCAGCAGGUCCCAAUGAGUCACUCAGUGCCUUGCACCUCCCAGAAACUAGGCUAGGAUAUAAAGAGAACACAGAUUUAAAAAGAAAACCAAACUAACUCAUUCAAACCAUUGUAAUUAAGGCAAUCUAGUCAUUUUUUGACUCUUAAACCUUUAGAAUAAAAAGGCAGCAAAGGAGAAAAAACGAAAUAAGGAAAUCACCAAUAUAAAGAAAUAUACAAGAAUACUUAAAUGUCAGCAAUAUUGUCAAACAACUUCUACAAAGUAAGCAAAAAUGGAGUAACUAGAAGUAGCAGAGGAGAGAAAUAUCAUAAAUAUGUUAAGCAUUGAGAGUUAGCUAGGGUUGUCAGCAAAUAAAACUUUUUGUUUGUUAAUAUGGCAUGCUAUAACUCUUUCAAAAUAACGUAAGUGGCUUGAAAUAAAGUCUACAUAAGCCACAUGGCCUUUAGAAUAUAAAUAACACUGCCUGAGUGUAAACCCUUGCCUUGCCACUUACUAGCAGUGCCAUUUAGCUUCUCACUGCCUUAACUUUACUGAUUAAGAUUUCUGUUGGCUGCUGUGGCAAAUGUCACACACUUAGUGACUUCAAAUAACCCAGAUGUAUCAUCUGACAGGGUGGAGAUGGUAAGUGCAGCAUAGGUCUCAUUGAGCUAAAAUGUACAUGUUCAAAGCACUGAGUUCCUUCCUAGAGACUCUUGUAGAGAAUCUGUUUACUUGCUCAUUUAGGUUGCUGGCAGAAUUUAGUUCUUGGAGGUUGUAGAACUGAGAUCCUCAUUUCCCCAUUCCUAAGUUCCAAAGGCCAUCCACAUUCUUUGGCUCAGGGCCUCUCCUUCAUCUUCAAAGCCAGCAAUGGCAGGUCCAACUCUUGUCAGACUUUGCAUCUUUCUCCCUCUUCCUGACUUCAGCCAGAAAAGAUAACCUGCUGUGAAAGAUUCAGGUGAUUAGAUUGUCUGCAUUUAGAUAAAUCCAGGAUAAUCUCCCCAUCUCAAGAUCCUUAACUUAAUCACACCUGCAAAGUUCCUUUUGUCAGAAAAGGCAAUAUACUCACAGUUUCUGGGGAUUAAGAUGUGGAUAUGUUUGGGGGCCAUUAUUCUGCCUAUCACACUCAAAGCUCCCUAUCUGAUUUCUAAAAUCUUCUUGCUCUAUUACCAGUGUAAACUACUAUUUCUGGAUUUUCUUGUUUAGGUUAGACCUUAGCAUUAGGGCAUUAACUGUUGACUAACUUUCAUAAAUGUAAUGCUUUAAUUCUUUUAUAUAACCACACACUCACACACAUACAUAUUGUUUCUUCUCUCAUUCUCCCAAAAGUGUUAUAUCCCAAUUCUUGGAGGUAUUCAAAUUAUUAUAAGCCAGUAAAUAUUUUUAUAACUAAAACAUAUAUUGUGCUAUGAUUAUUUUUUCCUGUAUAACUUUUCUUGUACAACUGCAGUCUCAUUAUUUGUCACAUGUUUUUCAUUCACUUAAUUUUCUAUGUAUUGGUCAUCUUUGAAGUUUUCAUCAGAAUUGGAAAUUAUUUCUCAGUACAUUGAAACACAACAGAUAAUCUAUCCAUUUUUCUUUCUUCUUGAAACAUCCCUACUUGUCCUCAUGCUUUUUCCUUUGAACUUGGAUGGAUUUCUCUCUAGUCUACUAUAGCUACUAACCUUAAGAUAUCCUUAAGUUACUCUUUGUAUCACUCCCGGUGAUACUUAGUGAGUUAUCUUAUUAUCACUCCCAGGAUUCCCUUCAUAUUUCUCCUAUGUUGGGGAUCACCUGUCUCUGGGUUUACUCCCUCUUUUUGUUGGAGCACAUCCUCCAAUAGGUCCCUGAGAAAAAGUGCAUGAUUAUUUUUUCUUUUUUAGUUUGAAUGCUUUAAAAUCUCUUUAUUCCACUCAUUUGUAUGUCUAUUUGUUUACUGGUUAGGCUGUGUGUAGUAUUCUGGGUUGGAAAUCUGUCUCCAGAACAAAGCUGAGAUUUGUGGGGGUAUGGUGUGGCCAGUGGCCUACAUGGCAUGUCAUAGCAAUGGAGUGACAGAGAAGGAUACUUGUGAAGAGAGAGUUAACCAGAAUGAUGUCUCCCCAAGAACAUUCUCAGGAAGAUCACUUUCAGAAGAGAAUAGACAUGGUACUUGAGGAUCUGAGAACUAAUUCUUUUAAACUAUCCAUACCUGCUUACUUAAGAGAACUUUACAUGUAUUUAACCUCUAGACUUUCAUGUACUUACCCCAGUUUGCAUACUGCUGUUCUAAAACAUCAAAUCUUCCUGGAAAUGUGGGAACCAAGAGGUAGAGAGACAUAAAUACCAGACUCCCUUUCUUCUUUACUUAUCUCCCAAAACCAGAGACAAAAAGCUUUAGCUAUUUUUUUCUUCUGUAUCACAUCCUUUUCCCACCCUAUAGAACACCAGUAAAAGUGGUUAGGUGGCCUCUUUGUGAUUUUGAUGUUCAGUAACCUAAAUUUCUCUAGAUUAUAGAAUCCAGAAUACUCAGAUAUGGCCAUGAGUGAUGACAAUUGUCCUUUAUUAUUGUUCGUUUUAAAAUUUAUAUUAGAGGCCAGGUGCAGUAGCUCAUGCCUAUAAGCCCAGUACUUUGGGAGGCCGAGGCAGAAGGUUCACUUGAGCCCAGGAGUUCGAGACCAGCGUGGGCAACAUGGCCAGACCCCAACUCCAUUAAAAAAUAUAUAAAUUAGCCAGGUUUGGUGGUACUACUUGGGAGGCUGAGAUGGGAGGAUUGCUUGAGCCUGGGAGGUUGAG
RNAcentral lists this long non-coding RNA (4043 nucleotides) under Homo sapiens (human). RNAcentral's name for it is "HSALNT0252727". Lineage: Eukaryota; Metazoa; Chordata; Mammalia; Primates; Hominidae. The record is from RNAcentral.